Symphalangus syndactylus (siamang) is the source of this 2832-nucleotide long non-coding RNA. RefSeq lists it as uncharacterized. The record is from RefSeq and is a predicted model, not a curated record. NCBI's taxonomy places the organism in Eukaryota, Metazoa, Chordata, Mammalia, Primates, Hylobatidae.
UUUGCGUAUUGAUGAAAGGGAAAAUCCACUUAUGACCAUAUUCCACAACUUAGGAAAUCCUUACCUUUAUAUAAAAAAGAAGUGGCUUCUUAGCAACCCAACAAAACUGUCAUGCCCUCCAACUCUCAACAACCACAAAACUACUACAAGAAGCAAAAUAAAACAAAACUUUCCUUAAGUUUUUCCUGUAAUGAAAUGGUGGAAGAUUUGUUCACCAGAACACUUAAGAAGUGAGCCUGGCCAGGCCUGGUGGCUCACGCCUAUAAUCCCAGCACUUUGGGAGGGCAAGGCGGGCAGAUCACCUGAGGCCAGGAGAUUGAGACCAGCUGGCCACCAUGGUGAAACUCCAUCUCUACUACGAAGUAAAAAAGUUAGUUGUGGUGGUGGCCGCUUGUAAUCCCAGCUACUUGGGAGGCUGAGGCAGGAGAAUCGCUUGAACCUGGGAGGUGGAGGUUGCAGUAAGCUGAGAUCACGCCAUUGCACUCCAGCCUGGGCAACAGAGUGAAACUCCAUCUCAAAAAAAAAAAAAAAAAAAAAAAAAAAAUUGAGCCUGUCAGACUCUGGGACAUUUAACAGUGGAUAGAACUAUCUCAGGGGGAGGUCUGAAGAACUGUCUUUUACUUCUGAGAGGACAAAGGAUAAGAGGAAGAGAGGAAGAGUUGGAAGAGGUGUCAGCACUAGGAGAGGAGGCCUGUCACUCUGGUAGGUGACUCUUCCCCAUGAUAGUCUUCAAUAUUCACAAAGCUAAACUGUCUCAUGAUUUUUCUGAAGCCAAUGAAUUACCUAGACUUCACAUUCACCCUGAUAUGAGGCAAAGCCAAGGCAGUAUUUAUAGGUACAACAGCUUAAAGGUAAGGAGACACAGGAGGAAUUAAACCCUAAAAACUCAAAUAACUCUCUUUGAGGGUUUUAGAUUGGAUUAGGCCAUAGGUUCAAGUCGAGUUGGAAUAGUUCUCUAAGAGACAAGGAGACUCCCAGAUGACUCUUGCUUUAUAAAUUGAUUUCAGGGUUUUGUUUGUUUGUUGCUGGUUGUUUGGUUGAUUCAUUUAGAAAUAUUUUCCUCACCAAGCCAGAGACCAGGCACUGCACCACGUCAGCUUUUUCACCAUUAACCUUUCACUGUGCUCUAUGUAGGUUACAAAAUAACACAAUAGGAAAAACAUUUUGAAAUUAAGAGAUAAGAGUGGACCAGGCUAUUAAAAUAACUAUGCAGAUGACAAUCUAGCAACACUCACAGAGUAUUUCAAAUAAUGACUUUAGAAACUAAGACCGGGCGCGAUAAUAAUGCACAUUUAAAUUGGCGCUAUUUAAAGGCAAAAUAGCUGUACUAUAAAAAGUGUCACUGAUACUUCAAUUCUACGUGCCUUUCAAACAGUAUGAAAAACUGUAACUAUAGUGUAUGCCUCAAAAAAGCAAAGACUGUUGCAGUGAUAAAUAUAUACAAUCUCCUGAGAAAAAACUUUAUACACAUAUUUUAGGGCAAGAGAAUUUAAUUUUCAAAAGUGUAUUAGUCUGUUUCACACUGCUAUAAGGAACUACCAGAGACUGGGGAAUUUAUUUAAAAAGUGAAGUUUAACUGACUCAUAGUUCUGUAUGUCUGGGGAGGCCUCAGGAAACUUACAGUUAUGGUGAAAAGCAGAAGAAGCAGCAAGCACUUUCUUCACAAGGGGGCAGGAGAGAGAGAGGAAUUGUGCAGGGGAAACUGCCACAUUUAAAUUAUCAGAUAUCAUGAGAACUCCCUCACUAUCAUGAGAUCAGCAUGGGGAAAACUGCCCCUGUGAUCCAAUCGACUCCCACCAGUUCCAUCCCUCUACAUGUGAGGAUUACAAUUUGAGAUGAGAUUUGGGUGGGGAUACAGAGCCAAACCAUAUAGAAAAGCAAGGACACUUAAAAGUAAUGUUAGUUUUAUGCAACUGUUAAUAAUGAAAGUUUAGGGGGAAGACAAAUUUUAUCCUGAAAGUUUGUUCUCCUGAAUUGCCUGAUACUCACCAUCUAUUUGCAAAAGUUAGGAUUGACUACACUAAUACCAGUUACAGCUAACAGCUAUCAAUGUUGACUAACGUAUCACUCUGACCACUUUUUAGCACUGCGAUUCAGGAUUGGGAAAUAAUAACAUUCUUGGAACACUUCUUUACAAAGGAAGCUCAUGAGGGAGAAAAAAAUAAAACAGAUAAAAGCAGAGCUACUAUUGUUGAAGCUGGGGCACAAAACGCCACCAACUUGGACCCUUUCUCCUUUCUCAUGGUGGCCCCCAGGGGAAAUCUAAAGAAACUAAAGGGUCCUGAGGGAUAAAGUUCAUCCUCCGUCACUUUCUGGAAAUCAGUAGAUGGAAUGGAAGCGGGGUUGGGUUGAGGGAGAGAUGCCAACUUCAUCCCAAACUCUGCCCACUUAUGAGAUUCUCUCAUAUUUGAAUGAAUGAUGAGGCAGACUGCAAAAGUGAAUUCCUUGAGGGACUUGAAAAUCUCAUGAAAGACCUAACUCAUUCCCUUGAAAGGAAGACAGAAUAAGGCAGAAAAGCUAGUAACAAAGUCUAAUCACACAGGGAAGCACCCCAUGUUACUUGUUUUAUUUUUUGUUACUUGUAGUGUGAAAUAUCUCUCAUCCAGGCACUAAUGGUCUAAUAUGAUACAGGAAUCUUGCAAAUGUGCAGAUGUUGGAAAGGGUUGGUGGGAUUCUAAAUAAAAAGGGAAAGGUUUCAUUAAGAUUUCUGUAAUAACAAAGCAAGACAAAGGUUGAGCAUAAGCAGCAUGCGUUGGUUCCCCUGUGGAAAAGUUUAACAGUGCAGAGGAAAGGGCUGUUUAAAAAAAAAAAAAAAAAAAAAAAAAAAAGAAA